CUGACGGUAGUCGUAUGCUCGUCUCCGAGACUAAGCCAUGCAAGUCCAAGUACACGUCCUUGAACGACGGAAACUGCGAACGGCUCAUUAAAUCAGUUGCGAUCUACUCGGCGUUCCGCGCCGCCGGAUAACCGUAGUAAUUCUAGGGCUAAUACGUGCGAAGCGCCCGAAGCCGCGAGGCGACGGGCGUUCUCGCCGGAUGUAGGAACCGACCCGGGGACCGCCGGGGCAACCCGGCGCCCCCGAGACGGGGCGAACCACGGUGAAAUGACGGAUCGUCGGCCCCGCGCCGGCGACUCGCCGAAUGAGUUUCUGACCUAUCAACUCGAGACGGCGGGGUAGAGGCCCGCCGCGGUAACGACGGGUAACGGGGAAUCAGGGUUCGAUUCCGGAGAGGGAGCCCGAGAAACGGCUACCACUUCCAAGGAAGGCAGCAGGCGCGCAACUUACCCUAAUCUCGAUUCGAGGAGGUAGUGACAAGAAAUACCGAUGCGGG
This 496-nucleotide ribosomal RNA is filed under the name uncultured eukaryote. RNAcentral's name for it is "bacterial SSU rRNA". It matches the Rfam family "Eukaryotic small subunit ribosomal RNA", at positions 14 to 489 of the family's 1831-position model. The record is from RNAcentral.